GAAGCUGGAUAGAGCAACGGCCUUCUAAGCCGUCGGUCGGGAGUUCGAAUCUCUCC
Molecule: transfer RNA, 56 nt
Filed under: Bacillus subtilis
Lineage: Bacteria; Bacillati; Bacillota; Bacilli; Caryophanales; Bacillaceae
Description: tRNA-Arg
Rfam family: tRNA
About the family: Transfer RNA (tRNA) molecules are approximately 80 nucleotides in length. Their secondary structure includes four short double-helical elements and three loops (D, anti-codon, and T loops). Further hydrogen bonds mediate the characteristic L-shaped molecular structure. tRNAs have two regions of fundamental functional importance: the anti-codon, which is responsible for specific mRNA codon recognition, and the 3' end, to which the tRNAs corresponding amino acid is attached (by aminoacyl-tRNA synthetases). tRNAs cope with the degeneracy of the genetic code in two manners: having more than one tRNA (with a specific anti-codon) for a particular amino acid; and 'wobble' base-pairing, i.e. permitting non-standard base-pairing at the 3rd anti-codon position.
Source: RNAcentral